This 5175-nucleotide long non-coding RNA is filed under the name Solanum lycopersicum (tomato). RNAcentral describes it as "long non-coding RNA (SLYC_LNC000350)". The record is from RNAcentral. Lineage: Eukaryota; Viridiplantae; Streptophyta; Magnoliopsida; Solanales; Solanaceae.
CUUCGUUGAUCUAUAGUAGCAAUCAAAUGUGUGUCAUCCCUCUCGUUCGUCAAAGUUUUCCUCAUUAGCAAAAUAGUCGAUGUUAAAGUGGCGGAGCUCAAUCACCAUCACCAGGGAAGUCAUCAUAGUUAGAAUGAACUCAAUAACACCAAAUAAUAAUUGUAUUGCUAACUGUCAAUUACAAAAAUGAAAUAGUAGUGAUAAUGAAUUGCAGAGAAAUUGAAGACACAAAGAAGGAGAUGAGAACAACAGAAGAAUGGGGAUGAGAGGAGUACAGAACUUUCACAUAAAACUUGCCUGCUUUAAUUUUUAUGCUACUGUGUAUUUAUAGGUAGGGUCAACUAUCUUAAUUUCUUGCUUCCCACUUCACGCGUUCCACACUCGGAUGCUAAACGAAAUCUGUUAACUUUGUUGGAUACUUUCUCACUCUUGUACUGCGUCUCACACUUUCUGUUACUUGGGGAAUGCUGACCUGGCUGCUAUCUCGGCUAGGCGUAUGCGUAAUUUCAAUUGAGUUACUGUUCAUAACAUAACCUCCGACCCCAAAAGGAACCUUGUCCACAAGGUUCAUUCCAGCUGCAAUCGUAGAUGUGUCACUGAGAUUUAAUGGAGUGAUUUGUUGUUCAGGCAAACCUAUGCACUUUUUGAGCAACGAAAUGUGAAAGACCGGAUGAAUAGACGCAGCCACUGGUAAUUCUAAUUUGUAAGCCACUGAACCGAUGCGCCGCAAUACUUUGAAGGGUCCAAAAUACUUUCUAUCCAGCUUGUGGUGUUUAUGUAAGCGUAAGGAAUGUUGUUUGUAAGGUUGUAAUUUGACAUAAGCCCAAUCACCAGCCUCCAAAGUAACAUGUGUGCGUUUCUGAUCAGCAAAUUUCUUCAUACGACCUUGAGCACGCAACAAGUUGGCUUUGAGAGAGUGCAAAACCUCAUCGCGGUGGAGAAAGAACUGUUCCACGAGUUCAUGGGAACUUCCAUCAAUCACAUAACGAGCUAGAGUUGGUGGGGCACGACCAUACAAGGCUUGAAAGGGAGACAUACCAGCUGAUGUUUGAAAAGACGUAUUAUACCAAUACUCUGCCCAUGGAAGCAUACUGACCCAAUCACUUGGCGAAUCUGCCACAUAACAAUGCAAAUAUUGUUCAACACAUUUAUUGAGAGCUUCAGAUUGACUAUCCAUUUGAGGAUGGUAAGCAGUGCUCAUGGCUAAAGAUGUUCCCUGGAGGCGAUGAAGUUCCUGCCAAAACCCAUGUAAGAAACGCGGAUCUCGAUCAGUGACAAUGGAUUUAGGAGGACCAUGAAGCUUGAGAAUGUGGGCUAUAAAAGCUUCAGCAACUGUCAAAGCUGUGAAAGUAGCAGGCAGCGGUACGAAGUGUCCAUAUUUGGAUAAUCUAUCAACUACAGCCAUGAUAGUCGUUUUACCGCGAGAUGGAGGCAAGCAAGUCACAAAAUCCAUUGUGAUCUCCUCGAAUACCUGCUCCGGAAUUGGAAGUGGUUGUAAUAAGCCAGCAGGGUGAUGAUGGUGGUCCUUCAUUUGUUGGCAAACUUGACAAGAUGCUAUGAAUACCUUUAUGUCACGACGCAUAUUCUUCCAAUAAAAAUUGGAAGACAAACAAUGAAAGGUACGGGCAAUGCCCGAAUGGCCACCAAUGGGAGAAGAGUGGAACUCUUGGAGCAGGUGGAGGCAAAGUGGUGAAUCAGCAGGUAACACUAAUCGUCCUUUGAAAAAUAAGAGCCCUCCUCGAUAACAAUAACCGGGGAAUGCGGAAGGAUCAUCACGAAGUCCUUAUUGUAUAGAUAGUAAUUUUGUAUUCUCCUUGUUGUUGAGGUGCAAAGUGUCAAAUAACUGAAAUGAUUGACUGGAAAAAGCCAUUAGUGAAGCAGUCGGUAAACGAGAUAGUGCAUCUGCGGCAAGGUUGUGUUUUCCUGGCCGAUAUACAAUUUCAAAAUCAUAUCCCACGAGUUUGCUUAACCACUUUUAUUGCUCUGGGGUCUGGAUUACUUGACCAGUGAGACUCUUAAGAGCCUGUUGAUCAGUGAUUAUAGUAAAACGUCUCCCUAAUAGAUUUGGCGCCAUUUGCUAACAUAUUGAGUGAUAGCCAACAUUUCGCGCACAUAAGUGGAAGCCUGUUGCAUUCUCGGGCAUAACUUUUGGCUGAAAUAGGCAACAGGAUGUCCUUUUUUAGAGAGAACAACCCCAAUGCCCAUCCCAGAGUCAUCAGUUUCAACCUGGAAUGGUUGACUAAAGUCAGGCAAUGCUAACACUGGUGUAGAGCUGAGACAACUCUUAAGUUUCUUGAAUGCAUCUUGAGCUUCAGGAGUCCAAGAGUAAGAAUCAGUACGUAGUAAAUCAGUCAACGGACUUGCAAGCAUAGCAUAGUUGCGGAUGAAACGUCUGUAGUAUCCCGCUAACCCCAAGAAGCUACGAACUUCCUUGAUAUUGCGAGGGUCAGGCUAGUGUUAGAUAGUGUUAAUCUUUGACGGAUCCACUAUCAACCCAUGUUGGGAUAACACAUGACCCAAGUAAUCCACGGUCUUUUGCCUAAACGCACAUUUGGAGAGCUUGGCAACCAACUGAUGUUCUCGUAAAGUGGAUAGGACCAAUUAAAGAUGAUCCAAGUGAAGCUUCCAGGAAGGACUAUAUAUCAAAAUGUCAUCAAAGAAAACCAAUACAAAUCGUCGUAAAAAGGGACGAAACACCGAAUUCAUUGUGGCUUGAAAAGUGGAUGGGGCACUAGAAAUCCCAAAUGGCAUUACCAAGAAUUCAGUGUCCUUCAUGUGUGUGAAAUGCAGUCUUUUCAAUAUCCUCGGGUCGCACUCGAAUUUGGUGAUAGCCAGACAACAAAUCAAGUUUAGAAAAAUACUUUUCACCAUGUAGUUCAUCAAAUAAUUCAUCAAUGGUGGGAAUAGGAAAUUGAUCCCGUAUGGUGACAGCAUUCAAUGCCCGAUAAUCAACACAAAAGCGCCAUGAGCCAUCUUUCUUACGAACUAGUAACACCGGGGAAAAGAAUGGGCUAGUACUUGGGCGAAUAAUACCUUCAGAAAGCAUCUCAUUCACCAAUUGCUCCAUGAUGUGUUUCUGAAAAUACGAAUAUCGAUAGGGCUUUACAUUAACAGGUUCUGUGGUUGGAGCCAAAUGAAUAUCAUGAUCUUGAAGACGCUUAGGCGGAUGUCCUUGUGGCUUUGUAAAAACGUCCUUAAAGGAGUCUAAUAAGGCAGAAAUGGCAGGUGGUGUCUCAGGAGAAUUUGAAGGUACAGCCCCAAUUAACUGCAAAUGAUAAUAGGUAGCUAUAGCAUCAGUGGCGCACAAGCAUCGUAAACACUGAAGUUGGACCGGCUGGAUAUCAAUAGAAGACUCGCCUUUCCAGCUAAAUUGUUGCCCAUUUAACUCAAAUUCAAAUAUCCUCUAACCAUAAUCAGUAACAACACGCCCCAAAGUAGCAAGCCAUGAAACCCCUAAGGCAAUGUCCGAGCCAUGCAUCGGCAAGAAAAAGAAAUCCAUAGUGAGAAGACACCCCUGAAUCAUUAACAGAACUUGGCGGACAGUUCCAGUACACGGAAGACGUUGGCCACUGCCUACCAUAACAGAGAAUUGGGAAAUAGGCUCUACUGCUAAGUGAAGGAAAUUAGCCACACGAGUUUGAAUAAAAUUGUGUGUGCUGCCAUUAUCGAGCAUAACUUGCACUGAUGAGCCCUGAACGUAACCAGUAAAACGGAGAGCAGAAGCAGCAUCACCACCAGCCAUAGCGUGGUAUGAGAUACUGGACGAAUGCAUCACCUCAAGCUGUUGAAGCUCCUCAGCCAACAUUUCAUCAGUCAAAGAAGAAUUAGUGAGAAGGUCUUGCACCUCUGGUUCACAUUCAAGCAAUAAUAAUUGCGGGGGAGCUUUACAUUUAUGACUAGUAGAGUAUUUUUCAUCACAACGAAAGCAUAGCCCCUUUUCUCGGCGUUGCUGGAUCUCCAUCGGUGAGAGACGCUUAAUGGGCAGUCGAUUGCAGUUAACAUUAUGUGGGUAAGGACUGGGGUUUGGUAGAAGAGGUGGAGAAUUUGUGAAGGCCGGUUUAAACGAUCCAUUCCGCUCCAACAAAAGUCGUUGUUCAUGAGUAUGGGCCAAUUCAAAAGCUUCAUCCAAUGUUUUUGGUUUAUGGACCAGAACAACGGUUUGAAUAUCUGCGCGAAGACCCGAAGUAAACAACGGAACCAACCAAGAGUCUGGGACGUCAGUAGUCUCAUUAGCUAUAGACUCAAAUUGAGUCUGAAAAUCAGAGACGAUAGAAGUUUGUCGGAGCUUGGAUAAACGCCCCUCUGCUGGAAGCAAUGUACGUUUAUGAAAUCUACUAGUUACUUUCAAAGCAAAAUUAGCCUAUUCGCUCAAUUGUUUGUUUCGAAAUAACCAGCGGUACCAUUCACGGGCCUCACCAUCCAAAUAGAACGAAGCUAUGGACAAUUUAUGAUCCUCAGAAAUAUUAUAAAAAUCAAAAUACCUCUCUGCCUGAAAGACCCAGCUCUCAGGAUUAUCACCAUAAAAACGAGACAUCUCAACAGAAGUUGGUUUAUGUCUCAUGGAGGGUAUAAGCGGAGCGCCGAUCGGAGCCGCCAUAUCAACUGCCUGGGAGUGCGAAGUAUUAGCCACCUGAGACAUCAAAUCCAAGAGCAAUUUUUGUUGCCCAGCAAAGGCCUUAGUGAGAUAUGUAACUGAGGCCGACAACUCAGAGAUCUCCUUUGAUGGAACCACCGACGAGGAUGACGGAACAGUGGUAGGAACAUUGGAACUUGAAAACCCGGUCAUGGAGCUCGAGCAAUGAAAGCACCAAUAGAAUGAAGUCAAUAACACCAAAUAGUAAUUGUAUUGCUAACUGUCAAUUACAAAAAUGAAAUAGUAGUGAUAAUGAAUUGCAGAGAAAUUGAAGACACAAAGAAGGAGAUGAGAACAACAGAAGAAUGGGGAUGAGAGGAGUACAGAACUUUCACAUAAAACUUGCCUGCUCUUAUUCUUAUGCUACUGUGUAUUUAUAGGUAGAGUCAACUAUCUUAAUUUCUUGCUUCCCACUUCACGCGUUCCACACUCGGAUGCUAAACGAAAUCUGUUAACUUUGUUGGAUACUUUCUCACCUCUUGUACUGCGUCUCACACUUUCUAUUACUUGGGGAAUGCUGACCUGGCUGCUAUCUCGGCUAG